AAACCAGCACCUCAAGUGGUCAGGAUGAUUAUUGGGCCUAAAGCAUCCGUAGCCGGCUCUGUAAGUUUUCGGUUAAAUCUGUACGCUUAACGUACAGGCUGCCGGGAAUACUGCAGAACUAGGGAGUGGGAGAGGUAGACGGUACUCGGGAGGAAGUGGUAAAAUGCUUUGAUCUCUCGAUGACCACCUGUGGCGAAGGCGGUCUACCAGAACACGUCCGACGGUGAGGGAUGAAAGCUGGGGGAGCAAACCGGAUUAGAAACCCGAGUAGUCC
RNAcentral lists this ribosomal RNA (274 nucleotides) under uncultured bacterium. RNAcentral describes it as "partial 16S ribosomal RNA". It matches the Rfam family "Archaeal small subunit ribosomal RNA", at positions 473 to 747 of the family's 1478-position model. The record is from RNAcentral.